CUCCUCCUUUACUGUGUUGAUUCCCUUUAUGUAUUUAAAUGUUUCUAUCAUAUCCCCCCUGUCUCGUCUUUCCUCCAAGCUAUACAUGUUAAGAUCCUUUAACCUUUCCUGGUAAGUUUUAUCUUGCAAUCCAUGAACCAGUUUAGUAGCCCUUCUCUGAACCCUCUCUAAGGUAUCAAUAUCCUUCUGAAGAUACGGUCUCCAGUACUUUGUACAAUACUCCAAGUGAGGUCUCACCAGUGUUCUGUAUAAUGGCAUGAGCACUUCCCUCUUUCUACUGCUAAUACCUCUCCCUAUACAACCAAGCAUUCUGCUAGCAUUUCCUGCCUACCUUUAAGUCAUCAGAAAUAAUCACCCCUAAAUCCCUUUCCUCAUAUGUUGAGGUUAGGACUCGAUCAAAUAUUCUGUACUCUGCCCUUGGGUUUUUACGUCCAAGAUGCAUUAUCUUGCACUUAUCCACAUUAAAUGUCAGUUGCCACAAUUCUGACCAUUUUUCUAGUUUACCUAAAUCAUUUG
Pelobates cultripes (western spadefoot toad) is the source of this 516-nucleotide non-coding RNA. Lineage: Eukaryota; Metazoa; Chordata; Amphibia; Anura; Pelobatidae. The record is from the annotation of a GenBank genome assembly.